GGGGGUGGAGGGACGCCAUCGCCGGGGAUCGGGACGCCAAUUGGCGCCGGAAGAAGAGCGUCCUGGAGGCCAAGAGGAAGAGGAUCCUGGCUCUGUCUGAAAAAGAAAACAAGCUGGGGCAGCACCAGGUGGAUGAAAGGGAGCACAAGACUGCCUUCUGCGACAUCACCAACCAGCCCCAUAAGAAAAAACAGCCUCUAUACACACAGGCAGACACCAGGUUCAAUUCCUACCUCCAGGGAGCAGAAACUCUAGCCAAGGGAGAAGUCCUGAGCAAGUGUCCCCGGUGCAGAUUCGCAUCCAAACUAAGAAACGGAAAUUACGUUUGCACGGGUUGCAGUUACACAUUCUGUGCCAAAUGCAGGGGCCC
This is a long non-coding RNA of Uloborus diversus, 370 nucleotides long. RefSeq lists it as uncharacterized. The record is from RefSeq and is a predicted model, not a curated record. The transcript is spliced from 3 exons. Lineage: Eukaryota; Metazoa; Arthropoda; Arachnida; Araneae; Uloboridae.